AACCCAUGGUGAGGGCACCUUUUAAGUAAGUCCUUGUGUCUCUCCCAUGCAUCGUAAAGUGUUUCUAAAUCCAUCUGAACAAAAGAAGAGAUAUCAUUACGCAAUUU
Molecule: small nucleolar RNA, 107 nt
Filed under: Gossypium hirsutum (cotton)
Lineage: Eukaryota; Viridiplantae; Streptophyta; Magnoliopsida; Malvales; Malvaceae
Description: Plant small nucleolar RNA R71
Rfam family: Plant small nucleolar RNA R71
About the family: R71 is a member of the C/D box family of snoRNAs containing the C (UGAUGA) and D (CUGA) box motifs. Multiple nearly identical copies of this snoRNA have been identified in Arabidopsis, and it is thought to function as a 2'-O-ribose methylation guide for 18S ribosomal RNA.
Source: Rfam by way of RNAcentral